Non-coding RNA from Parasteatoda tepidariorum (common house spider), 944 nucleotides. Lineage: Eukaryota; Metazoa; Arthropoda; Arachnida; Araneae; Theridiidae. The record is from RefSeq and is a predicted model, not a curated record.
CACCUGGAAUUAAAAAAAAUGAACUGUAGUUUAAAAUAAUAUUCUAUUAUCAUUAUUAUUCGUUACUGUUUCACUCGUCAAAAUAUUACUAAGUUUUUAUGAUCCUGCUUUUGUGUGUAUGAAAAUGGAAUCUUGUACUUGAAUCUUGUACUAUCUGACUAGCUACAGCACUCAAAUCUCGUUUGGAGCUAUGCACAAUUAACAACGUAAGUUUCAAUUGUUCCUUAACCACUACAAGCAGAAUUUUCGACAUAUGAAAUUGAUAUCAUGAUUACCCUCAGGCCAAACUUCCAACCACUUUUCGACUAGCUAGAGCACCCAGAUUUUAACUGGAGUUCUAUGCUGGAUGACAUCGCGAGUUUCAACCCUUUCCCGAUGAUCACCAAGAGCAUAAUUUAUCGAUACAUUAUCGCAAAAAGGAACUUAUUGUUAAUCAAAAUUUUGAAAAAGUUAAUUUGGAAACUCCCCCUUCAAAUAACGUUCAAAUCGUUUGUUCUAAGAAAUUAAUAUUCUGAGAAAACAAAGUGUUUACACAACAUUUCAUGCUCCAUCUACAAUAACACUGCAUGCUUAAGUUGAUGCCAAACAGUUUAGAUAGCUAGAUGUUAUCCGCAUUCAAAAGCUCAAACCUUAUUCCUGUUGAUGUUAGCGAAUAGACAUGUCCAAACAAGAUGCUGAACUACAUCCUAGAGUGGAAUAAAUCAAUGAAUUGCUGCAAUGUGUUGAGAAUGGAAACUAGCCGUUUUCACCAUUGGGUGAUAUUUAUUACCAUUCCAAUAGGAACGUAUUUCUAUCGCUUGCUAUUUGAUUGAUCAUUAAUGGAUUGCCACUGGGCAGUUUCCUCAGCGCAGUUGGUAUUGUUUAAUAUUUCAAAGUAUUACAACGACGAUGAAUUAUGGCCAAAAGCAGAAACCCAUUUGUUACACAAGCUAUUAAAGAAAAAA